GUUCCGUAGGUGAACCUGCGGAAGGAUCAUUAAAGUUAUAGUCCCCCGGCCCCUCCGGGCUGGGGUCUUCUAUACCACCCUUUGUUUAUUACACCUUUGUUGCUUUGGUAGGCCUGCCCUCGGGCUGCUGGCUCCGGCCGGCUCGUGCCUGCCAGAGGACCUAAACUCUGUUUGUAUAUGAAGUCUGAGUACUAUAUAAUAGUUAAAACUUUCAACAACGGAUCUCUUGGUUCUG
This 235-nucleotide unclassified non-coding RNA is filed under the name plant metagenome. RNAcentral describes it as "partial contains small subunit ribosomal RNA, internal transcribed spacer 1, and 5.8S ribosomal RNA". The record is from RNAcentral.